UCGCCUGUUUAUCAAAAACAUCGCCUCUUGCAAAACUCAAAAAUAAGAGGUCCCGCCUGCCCUGUGACUAUUUGUUUAACGGCCGCGGUAUUUUGRCCGUGCGAAGGUAGCGCAAUCACUUGUCUUUUAAAKGGAGACCCGUAUGAAUGGCAUAACGAGGGCUUAACUGUCUCCUCUUUCAAGUCAAUGAAAUUGAUCUCCCCGUGCAGAAGCGGGGAUAAAAACAUAAGACGAGAAGACCCUAUGGAGCUUUAGACACCAAGGCAGCCCACGUUAAAGACCCUGAAUAAAGGACUAAACCAAGUGAGCCCUGCCCUAAUGUCUUUGGUUGGGGCGACCGCGGGGAAUUAAAGAACCCCCACGUGGAACGGGAAUACUCUUCCUACAACUAAGAGCUACAGCUCUAAUAAACAGAACUUCUGACCAMCAAGAUCCGGCAAUGCCGAUCAACGGACCGAGUUACCCUAGGGAUAACAGCGCAAUCCUCUUUUAGAGCCCAUAUCGACAAGGGGGUUUACGACCUCGAUGUUGGAUCAGGACAUCCUAAUGGUGCAGCCGCUAUUAAGGGUUCGUUUGUUCAACGAUUAAAGUCCUACGUGAUCUGAGUUCAGAC
Molecule: ribosomal RNA, 613 nt
Filed under: Megalocottus platycephalus
Lineage: Eukaryota; Metazoa; Chordata; Actinopteri; Perciformes; Cottidae
Description: partial large subunit ribosomal RNA
Rfam family: Bacterial large subunit ribosomal RNA
Source: RNAcentral